UAAUAUGAUUAAGAAAUCAAAAAAGAUUUCUGAGACAAACACGCUUCACAAUGUGCGGCAAAGAAACAUUGUUUAUGCAAAGGCACUUCGCAAUGUGUGCUCAAACAUUGC
Non-coding RNA from Roseburia sp. CAG:309, 111 nucleotides. NCBI's taxonomy places the organism in Bacteria, Bacillati, Bacillota, Clostridia, Lachnospirales, Lachnospiraceae. The record is from Rfam.